Molecule: long non-coding RNA, 532 nt
Organism: Nyctereutes procyonoides (raccoon dog)
Lineage: Eukaryota; Metazoa; Chordata; Mammalia; Carnivora; Canidae
Exons: 3
Source: RefSeq, a predicted model, not a curated record
CACACAGGGUCCUGAGCAAGGAGCCCUGCCUCCAAUUCACCUCCCAGGACCCAGCCACUACUACCUCUCCUUGAAUUUCUGUAACAGCCUCCCAGACGCUCUCCCUGACUCCACUUUGCCCUCCGUGGACAAUGCCACCUUUACAAAGGCCAGGAUUUUGUCCUGGUUUGCUCACUGCUGCCUCCCCAGCACCUAGAUCAGUGGCUGACACAUGAAGGUGUCCAAUAAAUACUUGUUGGAUGAAUAAAUGAAUGACAAGUUCUUCCACAUACAGCGCCACCAAGACAACAAAACCAAAACCCAUGAACAACAUCUACUGAAGAAAACUAAGUAAAGGUAGCCCUAUAAACUCCAAACCAUUAAAUAUUUAAGAGCUACCAAAUCUAUGCAGCAUCUGUGUAGGAAAAAGCACAAGGAAACUCUGGGUUAUUGAAUGGAUUGACUUGAGGACAGAAGAAUCCCCAAAUCCUGACUCUGACCAGGAAGUGGGCAGGUCAACUUGAAACAAUUGAAUCUGCAACAGACUUUUUUA